ACGGGGGGGGGCAAGCGUUGUUCGGAAUUACUGGGCGUAAAGGGCUUGUAGGCGGCCAACUAAGUCCGACGUGAAAUCCCCAGGCUCAACCUGGGAACUGCGUCGGAUACUGGAUGGCUUGAAUUCGGGAGAGGGAUGCAGAAUUCCAGGUGUAGCGGUGAAAUGCGUAGAGAUGCGGAGGAACACCGAUGGCGAAGGCAGCCCCCUGGGUCGACACUGACGCUCAGGCACGAAAGCGUGGGGAGCAAACAGGA
RNAcentral lists this ribosomal RNA (254 nucleotides) under uncultured prokaryote. Its description in RNAcentral is "partial 16S ribosomal RNA". It matches the Rfam family "Bacterial small subunit ribosomal RNA", at positions 525 to 777 of the family's 1533-position model. The record is from RNAcentral.